GGGGAAUAUUGGACAAUGGGGGCAACCCUGAUCCAGCAAUUCUGUGUGCACGAAGAAGGUUUUCGGAUUGUAAAGUGCUUUCAGCAGGGAAGAAGAAAGUGACGGUACCUGCAGAAGAAGCGACGGCUAAAUACGUGCCAGCAGCCGCGGUAAUACGUAUGUCGCAAGCGUUAUCCGGAAUUAUUGGGCAUAAAGGGCAUCUAGGCGGCCAGACAAGUCUGGGGUGAAAACUUGCGGCUCAACCGCAAGCCUGCCCUGGAAACUGUUUGGCUAGAGUGCUGGAGAGGUGGACGGAACUGCACGAGUAGAGGUGAAAUUCGUAGAUAUGUGCAGGAAUGCCGAUGAUGAAGAUAGUUCACUGGACGGCAACUGACGCUGAAGUGCGAAAGCUAGGGGAGCGAACAGGAUUAGAUACCCUGGUAGUCCUAGCUGUAAACGAUGAUUACUGGGUGUGGGCAUGAAGAGUGUCCGUGCCGAAGCAAAUGCGAUAAGUAAUCCGCCUGGGGAGUACGGCCGCAAGGCUG
Molecule: ribosomal RNA, 524 nt
Filed under: uncultured bacterium
Lineage: Bacteria
Description: bacterial SSU rRNA
Rfam family: Bacterial small subunit ribosomal RNA
Source: RNAcentral